UCACCAAAUCAAGCCUGGCUUGUUGUUGGGCCCUUUGUCACUGGGUGACAGGUCCAAAAGACAAUGACUGGUGUCAUACAGACUCCCUAUGCAACGAGCUUAUAAGAGCACGCAUCUGGUGGUUAUGUGACCCUGGUUUGCAUCCUUUCUUUCUCAA
This 157-nucleotide unclassified non-coding RNA is filed under the name uncultured Herpotrichiellaceae. RNAcentral's name for it is "sequence contains ITS2". Lineage: Eukaryota; Fungi; Ascomycota; Eurotiomycetes; Chaetothyriales; Herpotrichiellaceae. The record is from RNAcentral.